UGGUACUGGCAGCAACAGCUGCUGCUUGGCUCUGAAAGCAGCUCUCUGCCCUUCUUUGGUGACCAAGAGAUGGAUGAGAGACAUUCCAACAACCAAGAUGAUCCAAGAUAAGUUCGGGAAACGAAGGAUUUCCUGAGGAGGAAAUGGAAGGUGCCAUAUUUCAGAGCAUUAUGAAAAAAAAUUACAGGCACAUAAAUCUAGGAGGAGAUAGCUUCGGCUCCACCAUAAUGGAUGAUGAAAGGUCAACUCUAGUAGCCCUGGAGAAGAACUGCAACCUUGGGCAGAACUUCUGUCAAUCCACAUAGUUGAAGAGGGUGAAGCCCAUCAUGCCCUUUGGCACCAGAAACAUUGAGA
This is a long non-coding RNA of Castor canadensis (American beaver), 354 nucleotides long. RefSeq lists it as uncharacterized. The record is from RefSeq and is a predicted model, not a curated record. Lineage: Eukaryota; Metazoa; Chordata; Mammalia; Rodentia; Castoridae.